RNAcentral lists this ribosomal RNA (248 nucleotides) under uncultured Lachnospiraceae bacterium. RNAcentral describes it as "partial 16S ribosomal RNA". It matches the Rfam family "Bacterial small subunit ribosomal RNA", at positions 524 to 771 of the family's 1533-position model. The record is from RNAcentral. Lineage: Bacteria; Bacillati; Bacillota; Clostridia; Lachnospirales; Lachnospiraceae.
UACGUAGGGGGCAAGCGUUAUCCGGAUUUACUGGGUGUAAAGGGAGCGUAGACGGCAGCGCAAGUCUGAAGUGAAAGCCCGUGGCUCAACCGCGGAACUGCUUUGGAAACUGUGCGGCUGGAGUGCUGGAGAGGUAAGCGGAAUUCCUGGUGUAGCGGUGAAAUGCGUAGAGAUCAGGAGGAACACCGGUGGCGAAGGCGGCUUACUGGACAGUAACUGACGUUGAGGCUCGAAAGCGUGGGGAGCAA